UGGGACAGUGACGACGGGUGAGUACACGUAAGCAACCUGCCUUUAAGACGAGAAUAACAAUUGGAAACAGUUGCUAAGGCUGGAUAGGAAAUAAAAAGGCAUCUUUUUAUUUUUAAAAGACCUUUUUCGGAAGGUAUGCUUAAAGAGGGGCUUGCGUCACAUUAGUUAGUUGGUAGGGUAAAGGCCUACCAAGACGAUGAUGUGUAGCUGGACUGAGAGGUUGAACAGCCACAUUGGGACUGAGACACGGCCCAAACUCCUACGGGAGGCAGCAGUAGGGAAUUUUCGGCAAUGGAGGAAACUCUGACCGAGCAACGCCGCGUGAACGACGAAGUACUUCGGUAUGUAAAGUUCUUUUAUUGAAGAAGAAACAAUAGUGGAAAAACUAUCUUGACGUUAUUCAAUGAAUAAGCCCCGGCUAACUAUGUGCCAGCAGCCGCGGUAAUACAUAGGGGGCGAGCGUUAUCCGGAAUUAUUGGGCGUAAAGGGUGCGUAGGCGGUUUAAUAAGUCUCUAGUUUAAUUUCAACGCUUAACGUUGUCCUGCUAGAGAAACUGUUUAACUAGAGUGAGAUAGAGGUAAGCGGAAUUCCAUGUGUAGCGGUAAAAUGUGUAAAUACAUGGAGGAACACCAGAGGCGUAGGCGGCUUACUGGGUCUUUACUGACGCUGAUGCACGAAAGCGUGGGGAGCAAACAGGAUUAGAUACCCUGGUAGUCCACGCCGUAAACUAUGAGUACUAAGUGUCGGGGUUAAACUCGGUACUGAAGUUAACACAUUAAGUACUCCGCCUGAGUAGUACGUACGCAAGUAUGAAAUUUAAAGGAAUUGACGGGAUCCCGCACAAGCGGUGGAUCAUGUUGUUUAAUUCGAAGAUACACGAAAAACCUUACCAGGUCUUGACAUACUCUGCAAAGCUAUAGAAAUAUAGUGGAGGUUAUCAGGGAUACAGGUGGUGCAUGGUUGUCGUCAGCUCGUGUCGUGAGAUGUUAGGUAAAGUUCUAAAACGAGCGCAACCCCUGUCGUUAAUUGCCAGCACGUUAUGGUGGGGACUUUAGCGAGACUGCCAAUGAAAAAUUGGAGGAAGGUGGGGAUUACGUCAAAUCAUCAUGCCCCUUAUGAUCUGGGCUACAAACGUGAUACAAUGGCUAUUGCAAAGAGUAGCUGAAACGCGAGUUUUUGGCAAAUCUCAAAAAAAUAGUCUCAGUUCGGAUUGAAGUCUGCAACUCGACUUCAUGAAGUUGGAAUCGCUAGUAAUCGCGAAUCAGCAUGUCGCGGUGAAUACGUUCUCGGGGUUUGUACACACCGCCCGUCAAACCACGAAAUGACAUCAGCCA
RNAcentral lists this ribosomal RNA (1334 nucleotides) under Lethal yellowing phytoplasma. RNAcentral's name for it is "bacterial SSU rRNA". It matches the Rfam family "Bacterial small subunit ribosomal RNA", at positions 88 to 1422 of the family's 1533-position model. The record is from RNAcentral. Lineage: Bacteria; Bacillati; Mycoplasmatota; Mollicutes; Acholeplasmatales; Acholeplasmataceae.